CGGCGCCCGGGGAGCGCCAAGAUGGCGGACGGCGACGGGCCGGGUGUUGCCGCCGCGGCCGCGGCCUCUCCUCAGGCACCCGCUCCCGGCCCGAGCCCGCCGCCGGGCUGGAGGGAGCGGCUGCGGGCCGGGCUGAUGGGGACGUGGGCCUCGCUGUGGUUCGUGGUGGGGCUGGGGCUGCUUUACGCUCUGAGGGUCCCGCUGAGGCUGUGUGAGAAUGUGGCCGCGGUGACAGUAUUUUUAAAUUCACUGACGUCCAAAUUCUAUGUGGCACUUACAGGGACAUGUUCUUUGAUAUCAGGACUAAUAUUUAUAUUUGAAUGGUGGUACUUCCAUAAACAUGGUACAUCUUUUAUUGAGCAAGUGUCGGUAAACCAUUUGCGACCAUUGAUGGGAGGAACAGAAAGAAGCAUGUCAGAGCCAGCUUCUCUUUCCAACAGCAGAGAAAGUGAAAACAGCAGACAGAAUGUGUCAGAAUGCAAGGUAUGGAGAAACCCUCUAAACCUUUUCAGAGGAGCAGAAUAUAGGAGACUCACUUGGGUGACUGGUAAAGAGCCACUUACAUACUAUGACAUGAAUUUGUCAGCUCAGGACCAUCAGACCUUUUUCACCUGUGACACAGACUUUUUACGUCCUUCAGACACAGUUAUGCAGAAGGCAUGGAGGGAAAGAAAUCCUUUAUCUCGAAUUAAAGCAGCCUACCAAGCUUUAGAAUUAAACAAUGACUGUGCCUCUGCAUAUAUUCUACUGGCUGAGGAAGAAGCAACAACUAUUGUUGAUGUUGAAAAGUUAUUUAAGCAGGCACUCAAGGCAGGAGAAACGAUUUAUAGGCGAUCGCAGCAGUGUCAGCACCAAAGUCCUCAGCAUGAAGCCCAACUGAGGAGAGAUACCAAUGUACUGGCUUAUAUUAAAAGAAGAUUGGCAAUGUGUGCAAGAAAAUUAGGAAGAAUAAGAGAAGCAGUAAAAAUAAUGAGAGAUUUGAUGAAAGAAUUUCCUCCUCUUACCAUGUGGAACAUCCAUGAAAAUCUCCUAGAAUCACUUUUAGAAUUACAGGCCUAUGCAGAUGUUCAGGCAGUCCUAGCAAAAUAUGAUGAUAUAAGCCUUCCAAAGUCAGCAGCAAUCUGUUAUACAGCAGCACUGUUGAAGACAAGGACUGUUUCAGAUAAAUUCUCUCCAGAAGCAGCCUCCAGACGAGGUUUAAGCACAGCGGAAAUUAAUGCUGUGGAAGCAAUUCAUAGAGCUGUGGAAUUUAAUCCUCAUGUUCCAAAAUACUUACUAGAGAUGAAAAGUCUAAUUUUACCUCCAGAACACAUUCAGAAACGGGGUGAUAGUGAAGCAGUUGCCUAUGCUUUCUUUCAUCUUCAGCACUGGAAGCGAAUAGAAGGUGCUCUUAAUCUGUUACAGUGUACAUGGGAAGGCACUUUUAGAAUGAUUCCAUAUCCAUUAGAGAAAGGCCAUCUAUUUCACCCUUAUCCCAGCUGCACAGAGACUGCUGAUAAGGAGCUAUUGCCUACCUUUCAUCAAGUAUCUGUUUACCCAAAGAAGGAGCUUCCUUUUUUCAUCUAUUUCACAGCAGGACUGUGUUCUUCUACAGCAAUGAUAGCUCUUCUCACACACCAGUUUCCUGAAAUCAUGGGUGUUUUUGCUAAAGCUGGGGACCAUGAACCAUCUGAGGCCCAUCCAUCGUUGAGAACCCCCACUCUGGCCUUUUAUUUGGACUCUGAAGGGGCAGAAAACCCAUGGGCGUGACCUGAGUCUAAGCAAUUUGUCAUGUGUUUUAAGCAGAUGGCUCCCGAAUGCAGAACACCAUGGAGAAGAGGGAUGAGAGCAGGAGCCGGGGGACAGCUCAUGGCCUUGACAUUAGAUCUGCUGAGAAGCCG
RNA transcript from Myotis myotis, 1880 nucleotides. It is a transcript of the gene named suppression of tumorigenicity 7 like, with no coding region annotated. The record is from RefSeq and is a predicted model, not a curated record. The transcript has 16 exons. Lineage: Eukaryota; Metazoa; Chordata; Mammalia; Chiroptera; Vespertilionidae.